CUAAAGCCUCGACCUCGUUUCCUUGUCGUCCCACACAGCAGCAGUCUUCCCAAGCACCUUAUUGGUCUCAGCAGCAUUAUCCAGGUGAUGCACACCCACCUUACCAACCUCACGGAUGGACUCAGUUUAGUACCAUGGCACCAGCUGCAGGGAUGUCAUUUCAACCAACACAGGCACCACCACGACCUUUCGUUAUAUGAUGCUGGACCUUCUUCGUAUUA
Long non-coding RNA from Panicum virgatum (switchgrass), 221 nucleotides. RefSeq lists it as uncharacterized. The transcript is spliced from 3 exons. Lineage: Eukaryota; Viridiplantae; Streptophyta; Magnoliopsida; Poales; Poaceae. The record is from RefSeq and is a predicted model, not a curated record.